GGGUCUAUAGCUCAGUUGGUUAGAGCGCACCCCUGAUAAGGGUGAGGUCGGCCGUUCAAAUCGGCCUAGACCCACCA
This 77-nucleotide transfer RNA is filed under the name Marinomonas mediterranea. Its description in RNAcentral is "tRNA-Ile". It matches the Rfam family "tRNA". From Rfam's summary of the family: Transfer RNA (tRNA) molecules are approximately 80 nucleotides in length. Their secondary structure includes four short double-helical elements and three loops (D, anti-codon, and T loops). Lineage: Bacteria; Pseudomonadati; Pseudomonadota; Gammaproteobacteria; Oceanospirillales; Oceanospirillaceae. The record is from RNAcentral. RNAcentral also lists the same sequence under 1 other name.